This 496-nucleotide ribosomal RNA is filed under the name uncultured bacterium. RNAcentral describes it as "partial 16S ribosomal RNA". It matches the Rfam family "Bacterial small subunit ribosomal RNA", at positions 28 to 506 of the family's 1533-position model. The record is from RNAcentral.
GAUGAACGCUGGCGGCGUGCCUAAUACAUGCAAGUCGAGCGAACAGACGAGGAGCUUGCUCCUCUGACGUUAGCGGCGGACGGGUGAGUAACACGUGGAUAACCUACCUAUAAGACUGGGAUCACUUCGGGAAACCGGAGCUAAUACCGGAUAAUAUAUUGAACCGCAUGGUUCAAUAGUGAAAGACGGUUUUGCUGUCACUUAUAGAUGGAUCCGCGCCGCAUUAGCUAGUUGGUAAGGUAACGGCUUACCAAGGCGACGAUGCGUAGCCGACCUGAGAGGGUGAUCGGCCACACUGGAACUGAGACACGGUCCAGACUCCUACGGGAGGCAGCAGUAGGGAAUCUUGCGCAAUGGGCGAAAGCCUGACGGAGCAACGCCGCGUGAGUGAUGAAGGUCUUCGGAUCGUAAAACUCUGUUAUUAGGAAAGAACAAAUGUGUAAGUAACUAUGCACGUCUUGACGGUACCUAAUCAGAAAGCCACGGCUAACUACGU